GCGUUGGCCUGUGUACAAGUCCCUUGGAACAGGGCGUCAUAGAGGGUGAGAAUCCCGUCCUUGACACAGACUACCAAUGCUUUGUGAUGCGAUCUCGAAGAGUCGAGUUGUUUGGGAAUGCAGCUCAAAAUGGGUGGUAAAUUCCAUCUAAAGCUAAAUAUUGGCGAGAGACCGAUAGCGAACAAGUACCGUGAGGGAAAGAUGAAAAGCACUUUGGAAAGAGAGUUAAACAGUACGUGAAAUUGUUAAAAGGGAAACGAUUGAAGUCAGUCAUGCUUUCCGAGACUCAGCCGAUUCUGUCGGUGUACUUCUCGGUUGGCAGGCCAGCAUCAGUUUCGAUCUGUGGAAAAGGUUGGAGGGAACGUGGCAUCCUC
This 374-nucleotide ribosomal RNA is filed under the name Mrakia gelida. Its description in RNAcentral is "partial large subunit ribosomal RNA". It matches the Rfam family "Eukaryotic large subunit ribosomal RNA", at positions 167 to 546 of the family's 3401-position model. Lineage: Eukaryota; Fungi; Basidiomycota; Tremellomycetes; Cystofilobasidiales; Mrakiaceae. The record is from RNAcentral.